RNAcentral lists this ribosomal RNA (253 nucleotides) under uncultured bacterium. RNAcentral's name for it is "partial 16S ribosomal RNA". It matches the Rfam family "Bacterial small subunit ribosomal RNA", at positions 524 to 776 of the family's 1533-position model. The record is from RNAcentral.
UACAGAGGUCUCAAGCGUUGUUCGGAUUCAUUGGGCGUAAAGGGUGCGUAGGCGGCGAGGCAAGUCUGGUGUGAAAUCCCGGGGCUCAACUCCGGAACUGCACUGGAUACUGCUUUGCUAGAGUACUGGAGAGGGAACUGGAAUUUACGGUGUAGCAGUGAAAUGCGUAGAUAUCGUAAGGAAGACCAGCGGCGAAGGCGAGUUCCUGGACAGUAACUGACGCUGAGGCACGAAGGCCAGGGGAGCAAACGGG